GCUAGGUUGGCUCAGUGGUAGAGCGUUGCGUAUACUGAGAGGUUUAUACCUCAACGCAAAGGUCCAGGGUUUGAAUCUGACCUGUGA
This 87-nucleotide transfer RNA is filed under the name Perca flavescens (yellow perch). RNAcentral describes it as "tRNA-OTHER". The record is from RNAcentral. Lineage: Eukaryota; Metazoa; Chordata; Actinopteri; Perciformes; Percidae.